This is a small nuclear RNA of Manis pentadactyla (Chinese pangolin), 102 nucleotides long. The record is from RefSeq and is a predicted model, not a curated record. Lineage: Eukaryota; Metazoa; Chordata; Mammalia; Pholidota; Manidae.
GGGCUUUCUUUGGCAGCACAUAUACUAAAAUUCAAACGAUAACAGAUUAGCAUGACCCUGUGCAAGGAUGAUAUACAAAUCUGUAAAGCAUUCCACUGGUCA